AGGUAUUGUAGUCUAAUGGUUAAGGCGUGAAUUUGCAAAAUUCAAAAUAGCAGUUCGAUUCUGCUCUAUACCUA
Molecule: transfer RNA, 74 nt
Filed under: Pediastrum duplex
Lineage: Eukaryota; Viridiplantae; Chlorophyta; Chlorophyceae; Sphaeropleales; Hydrodictyaceae
Description: tRNA-Cys
Rfam family: tRNA
About the family: Transfer RNA (tRNA) molecules are approximately 80 nucleotides in length. Their secondary structure includes four short double-helical elements and three loops (D, anti-codon, and T loops).
Source: RNAcentral